AGCCUUUGCGGCAUGGGAUGGGGUCGCGUCCUAUCAGCUUGAUGGCGGGGUAACGGCCCACCAUGGCUUCGACGGGUAGCCGGCCUGAGAGGGCGACCGGCCACAUUGGGACUGAGAUACGGCCCAGACUCCUACGGGAGGCAGCAGUGGGGAAUAUUGCACAAUGGGCGCAAGCCUGAUGCAGCGACGCCGCGUGAGGGAUGGAGGCCUUCGGGUUGUAAACCUCUUUUGUUAGGGAGCAAGGCAUUUUGUGUUGAGUGUACCUUUCGAAUAAGCACCGGCUAACUACGUGCCAGCAGCCGCGGUAAUACGUAGGGUGCAAGCGUUAUCCGGAAUUAUUGGGCGUAAAGGGCUCGUAGGCGGUUCGUCGCGUCCGGUGUGAAAGUCCAUCGCUUAACGGUGGAUCCGCGCCGGGUACGGGCGGGCUUGAGUGCGGUAGGGGAGACUGGAAUUCCCGGUGUAACGGUGG
Molecule: ribosomal RNA, 469 nt
Filed under: Bifidobacterium breve
Lineage: Bacteria; Bacillati; Actinomycetota; Actinomycetes; Bifidobacteriales; Bifidobacteriaceae
Description: bacterial SSU rRNA
Rfam family: Bacterial small subunit ribosomal RNA
Source: RNAcentral